UACCCUUGACAUGCCUGGAAUCCUGCAGAGAUGUGGGAGUGCUCGAAAGAGAGCCAGGACACAGGUGCUGCAUGGCCGUCGUCAGCUCGUGUCGUGAGAUGUUGGGUUAAGUCCCGCAACGAGCGCAACCCUUGUCAUUAGUUGCUACGAAAGGGCACUCUAAUGAGACUGCCGGUGACAAACCGGAGGAAGGUGGGGAUGACGUCAGGUCCUCAUGGCCCUUAUGGGG
Molecule: ribosomal RNA, 229 nt
Filed under: uncultured bacterium
Lineage: Bacteria
Description: partial 16S ribosomal RNA
Rfam family: Bacterial small subunit ribosomal RNA
Source: RNAcentral